UGGCUCUCGCAUCGAUGAAGAACGCAGCGAAAUGCGAUAAGUAAUGUGAAUUGCAGAAUUCAGUGAAUCAUCGAAUCUUUGAACGCACCUUGCACUCUUUGGUAUUCCGAGGAGUAUGCCUGUUUGAGUGUCAUUAAUUUCUCAAAUCUCAAAGCAGUUUCAUCUGAAUUUGAGACUUUGGAUCAUGGGAGCUUUGCAGGCUUUCAAGUCUGCUCUCCUUAAAUGUAUUAGUGGUUACUAAUUGACCAUGAUUUGGUGUGAUAAAUAUCUACUCCAAUGGGUUUAAAAUGGUAACUGCUUCCAACUGUCCAUUGAUUUGGACAAUUUUUUGAUUUGACCUCAAAUCAGGUAGGAUUACCCGCUGA
Molecule: unclassified non-coding RNA, 365 nt
Filed under: uncultured fungus
Lineage: Eukaryota; Fungi
Description: partial contains 5.8S ribosomal RNA and internal transcribed spacer 2
Rfam family: 5.8S ribosomal RNA (bases 1-133)
Source: RNAcentral